Molecule: ribosomal RNA, 791 nt
Filed under: uncultured Actinomyces sp.
Lineage: Bacteria; Bacillati; Actinomycetota; Actinomycetes; Actinomycetales; Actinomycetaceae
Description: bacterial SSU rRNA
Rfam family: Bacterial small subunit ribosomal RNA
Source: RNAcentral
AACGAAAAUACCAAGCUUGCUUGGUUGAUUAGUGGCGAACGGGUGAGUAACACGUGAGUAACCUGCCCCUUACUUUCCUGGAUAACUGCUCGAAAGGGUAGCUAAUACGGGAUAUUCUGACUAGCCUGCAUGGGUUGGUUUGGAAAGGUUGUUUUUCUGGUAAGGGAUGGGCUCGCGGCCUAUCAGCUUGUUGGUGGGGUGAUGGCCUACCAAGGCUUUGACGGGUAGCCGGCCUGAGAGGGUGGACGGUCACACUGGGACUGAGAUACGGCCCAGACUCCUACGGGAGGCAGCAGUGGGGAAUAUUGCACAAUGGGCGCAAGCCUGAUGCAGCGACGCCGCGUGAGGGAUGAAGGCCUUCGGGUUGUAAACCUCUUUCGUCAGGGAACAAGGCACUGCUUUGGUGGUGUUGAGGGUACCUGGAUAAGAAGCGCCGGCUAACUACGUGCCAGCAGCCGCGGUAAUACGUAGGGCGCAAGCGUUGUCCGGAAUUAUUGGGCGUAAAGAGCUCGUAGGCGGCUGGUCGCGUCUGUCGUGAAAACUUCCGGCUCAACCGGGGGCUUGCGGUGGGUACGGGCCGGCUAGAGUGCGGUAGGGGUAACUGGAACUCCGGGUGUAGCGGUGGAAUGCGCAGAUAUCAGGAAGAACACCGAUGGCGAAGGCAGGUUACUGGGCCGUUACUGACGCUGAGGAGCGAAAGCGUGGGGAGCGAACAGGAUUAGAUACCCUGGUAGUCCACGCCGUAAACGUUGGGCACUAGGUGUGAGGCUCCUUUCCGGGGGUUUUGCGCC